Molecule: long non-coding RNA, 442 nt
Filed under: Equus caballus (horse)
Lineage: Eukaryota; Metazoa; Chordata; Mammalia; Perissodactyla; Equidae
Description: lncRNA (ENSECAG00000032420.3)
Source: RNAcentral
CAAGAGUGUACUUAAUGCAAAGCAACUUCCUGAAAGGAAGCUCAGAGUAUGGUAAAAUGGCCCAAAAAGCUGAUGUCAGUGAUCUGAACCACAGAUAGGAGAGAGGCCUGGGCCUGGGCCAAUUCAGAGCUCCAUGCUUUUUAGAAGACCUGAGGGGGGCUAUUUAACUCCUCUUUAAUAGAAAAGAAAACAAACGUCAACACGCCACACUCUGGAGAUUUGAAGUACUGAAGCUUCAGGACUCAGUAUUCAGUUCCCACCGGAGAACUGGCUGUAUCACAUUGCAGUGACUCAUCCAGUGUCUGCCUUCCGCCUAUGGUCUGGUCUUCUUGAGGGCAGGGAAAAACCUCUUCUUAACCAUCUCUGCAGGCUCAUAAAGUCUUGGGAGAAUUAUACUGACUCGAUCAUUGUGGGUUGAUGAACUCAGCAAGUAUUUGAGAAG